UAGGGAAUCUUCCACAAUGGGCGCAAGCCUGAUGGAGCAACGCCGCGUGAGUGAAGAAGGUCUUCGGAUCGUAAAACUCUGUUGUUAGAGAAGAACAUGCAGGAGAGUAACUGUUCUUGUAUUGACGGUAUUUAACCAGAAAGCCACGGCUAACUACGUGCCAG
RNAcentral lists this ribosomal RNA (164 nucleotides) under uncultured bacterium. Its description in RNAcentral is "partial 16S rRNA". It matches the Rfam family "Bacterial small subunit ribosomal RNA", at positions 355 to 511 of the family's 1533-position model. The record is from RNAcentral.